RNAcentral lists this ribosomal RNA (573 nucleotides) under uncultured bacterium. RNAcentral describes it as "bacterial SSU rRNA". It matches the Rfam family "Bacterial small subunit ribosomal RNA", at positions 56 to 675 of the family's 1533-position model. The record is from RNAcentral.
UGCAGUCGAACGAAGUAGCAAUACUUAGUGGCAGACGGGUGAGUAACAUGUGGGUAUCUACCCUUUGGCCUGGAAUAACACGAGGAAACUUGUGCUAAUACCGGAUAAGUCUUUACGGAGAAAGCUUUAUGCACCAUUGGAUGAGCCCGCACUUGAUUAGUUUGUUGGUAGGGUAAUGGCCUACCAAGACUAUGAUCAAUAGCUGAUUUGAGAGGAUGAUCAGCCACAUUGGGACUGAGACACGGCCCAAACUCCUACGGGAGGCAGCAGUGGGGAAUCUUGCACAAUGGAGGAAACUCUGAUGCAGCGAUGCCGCGUGAGUGAAGAAGGCCUUUGGGUUGUAAAGCUCUUUCGUCGGGGAAGAAAAUGACUGUACCCGAAUAAGAAGGUCCGGCUAACUUCGUGCCAGCAGCCGCGGUAAUACGAAGGGACCUAGCGUAGUUCGGAAUUACUGGGCUUAAAGAGUUCGUAGGUGGUUGAAAAAGUUGGUGGUGAAAUCCCAGAGCUUAACUCUGGAACUGCCAUCAAAACUUUUCAGCUAGAGUAUGAUAGAGGAAAGCAGAAUUUCUAGUG